RNAcentral lists this ribosomal RNA (292 nucleotides) under uncultured bacterium. RNAcentral's name for it is "partial 16S ribosomal RNA". It matches the Rfam family "Bacterial small subunit ribosomal RNA", at positions 505 to 796 of the family's 1533-position model. The record is from RNAcentral.
GUGCCAGCCGCCGCGGUAAUACGGGGGGGGCAAGCGUUGUUCGGAAUUACUGGGCGUAAAGGGCGCGUAGGCGGUCUACUAAGUUGGAUGUGAAAACUCUGGGCUUAACCCAGAGCCUGCAUUCAAAACUGAUAGGCUGGAGUUCUGGAGGGGAUAGCGGAAUUCCUGGUGUAGCGGUGAAAUGCGUAGAUAUCAGGAGGAACACCGGUGGCGAAGGCGGCUAUCUGGACAGAAACUGACGCUGAGGCGCGAAAGCUAGGGGAGCAAACAGGAUUAGAAACCCCCGUAGUCC